Molecule: long non-coding RNA, 756 nt
Filed under: Homo sapiens (human)
Lineage: Eukaryota; Metazoa; Chordata; Mammalia; Primates; Hominidae
Description: novel transcript
Source: RNAcentral
GGGGAAGAUGUUUCUCAGCAACAGUGCUACCCUGCUGGACAGCUGGUGAUUUUUACCAUAAAACAAGAUAGUAAUAAGGAUAGAAUGAGACACCACCGGCUUUGCUCCAUCCCUUUGGGAAGACAGCACACCCAGAGCUCAAGUCUGCUGCUCAUUCUGGAAGGGGAGAUGUCCUGGGCCCAGGGUUUGGAAAUGUCUUCUUGGACAAGCUUAAGCCGCUCGUGCAUAUCUCUUCUACACUCAAUCAGCAUCUCUAGAGGAGGUGCCAGCUCUCUCAACAAGUAAUUCCUUUUGGCCCCAUCACAGAAGGGAAGUACAAUCAACAGCAAUGAAGCUUCUUUAUUCCUUGCUAAUUUAGUGCCACGACACAUGAUAUGCACAGCUUUGUGAGUGGGAGGGUUUCAAAGCAGGAAGCUUUGGAUCUGACUUAGGGAGGCUGGUUAUCCACUUACGAUACUUGACUUAGCAGAAGCCAGUCUUUGUGAAAGCUGUUAUGGGGCCCCCUGCUGGCAUUGUGACAUGGAGACACUUCAUCUUCAGUGAACCUACAGUUCCCUCUGGGAAGCUUCAAGUUCAACAGGGCUGUGGACUUGCAGAGAUUCUUGCUGUAGGCUAGGAAAGUAGAUUGUAGUACUAGUACUACUGCUAGUACUACGUUUUCUACUAUCUUUGGGUUUCUUGGGCCACUUUGAAACUCUAACCACAGUGUUUUCAAACUUGCAAUGGUAAAAUGCAUUGUAAAUAAAAAUUUUAACU